This 3044-nucleotide long non-coding RNA is filed under the name Xyrichtys novacula (pearly razorfish). Lineage: Eukaryota; Metazoa; Chordata; Actinopteri; Labriformes; Labridae. The record is from RNAcentral.
UUUUUUUAUCAUGUUUGUCUGUGUGAAGUCUAAAGGUGUUUUUAACUCCUUCUAUUACAUCACUUAAUCCAGACUAAAACCUAAUUUUCCAUCAGAUCAGAUUAGAUUAGAUUAGAACAGGUUACAUUGAUUUUAAUUGGUACUUUUAGGAAGGUUCCCUCGAUGAAAUGUUAAAAAUCAAAAGUAUAAAGCCUUUUGAUCAAGCUCGACAACUUUUAUCAUUGAAUUGUGACUUCAAAGAAUCUGUUUUAAAUAAUAAGAUGAUAAAUCAGGAUUUUUUUAUAGAAUUAUACAAAAAAAGAGAUAAAAUAGUUACUUCAGGGUCUCACAUUAUUCAGAUUUAAAAAAUAUAUUGUUCAGGAUGCUUUGAGUCUGUCACUGUUCUUUCAGUAUAAUGACCACAAAUAGGCCUCAUCGUCCCCGUCUCAGGAGGUUUUACACUCUGAAUUAUUCCCCUCAUGAAUAUAACUUUUAAAGAGUCGAUAUGAUCUUCAAUUAGAAGUCCAGUCUUUACAGAAAUGUUUUGAUAAGAUGAAACAAAACCCUAAUUACAUUUACAGAGUUAAUAUGCGGUCUAACAUAUUAAUAACACCAAUAUUUGAUGGUUUGACUCAUUUAAAGCUUUUGUUUUACUGAGAAUAAUGCAAAGACAACAUAUAAAAUAUUGUUUUAUUAAAAAUAUGAUCAUUUUAAAUUUGACACAACCAAUCAGAUAUAAAGUUGUGUUAUGUGAAAAAAAGGGGGGAAAAAAAACAGCUGGAGGAACAUCUCCAUCUAGUUUCCAACAGGUUAGUAACAGGAUCCAGAAACACCAGAGACUAUUCUGGACCUGAGCCUCAAUUAAAGUGGACUGAGGAGAAGAGGGAAACUGUCCUGGAGUCUCCUGAACAAGAAUCUGACCUGCAUCCUCCUCUCUAAAGACUAGAGGGACCACCUGGCUUGUUCUCAGCUCCCAGUCUAAAGCCAGCAUCCCUGAUGGUAUGGGGAGCAUCCGAGUCCAUUCCCCAUCUGUGAAGGCUCCAUUAAUACUGAACAAUAUCUACAGAUUUAAGAGCAACAUCUGCUGCCAUCCAGACAAUAACGUUUUGAGAGAAGACCUUCAUAUUUCAUCAAGACACCAAAAACAGGACUUAGGAGACCCUCAACUGUUGAGUAGCUGAAAUCUUUUCUCAGGUAAGACUGGGACAACAUUUCACUUUCAGACUCCAGGAACUUGGUCUGCUGGGUUCACUAAGGUCUACAGAGGGUUGGUGAAAGAGGUGAUAAAACAUAAAAAUCAGAGAAAGAACAUCCAGAGACUCUGAAUCUUCUCUCCCUACAGAGAAACGUUGAGAUCUUCCUCUUCUGGUUUUCAUCGUCUGCAGCUCCUUGACUCUCCGCUGACCGGUGUCAUCGACCUGUGGAGGUGAGUGAUCUCUUUUAUUUCACUGUGAUCGAUAAAUAAAGAUCCUCCCGCAGAUCAGAGAACAAAGACGAGCCAAGUCCUCGACCUCAGACGCUCUAAUGAUGAUUCACGGUCUUACAGAGUUCAUCUCCUGUUGUCAGAAGAAACACCAGCUGUCAGUGAGUAGAUGACUCUAUCUAAACUUUAUUUGAGACCUCACAGAAAUCAAACAUGAAUGUUGGACUGAUCUUACCGAGGGUUGGUCCCAAACCAUCCUCUGAAAGAAAUGAUGUGUAGAUUCCUCACCUACACCUGCACUUGAGUUCAUGAGCCAGGGACAGUCUGGUGUGUCAGCAGCACCUUGAGCUGACUUGUUAUUAUGGCCUCAGGAGAAAACGUGACUCUGUAAACCUCUUGUUUGGCCUUCAAACAUUUUGACAGAGAGAAAAAAAAGUGAUUAAAAAAGAAAAUAAAUCCUCAUGUUCUUGGGUUUGUUGGCUCACCUUUACCUGAGUCAAGUUCACUUUCAGAGUUUUGGUCUAACUCUUCUCAGACACUAAAGAUUAGAUUUUGGACCAAGGCUUUAGAUCCUCUAGUUCAGAGAUCCAGCCUGAUCCAGCAAAUAUUAGAUCCCCUUUAUCUGGACAGUUACAGCAGCAUGAGUCUAGGGACAGCCUAGGAGAAUCUGGAGAAAUGUCCCCCCAAAAGGAUGAGUGUAUCAUGAAGGCGUCUGUGAAAACCAGGAAACGCUGACUCUGUUUUUUUUUUAACUCACUGAUCAAACUGCAAAAGUUUUUAACCCUUCAGUGUUUCUCUGAAUCUCCCCAGAUCAAACCACCUGUGACCGAAGCUGGAGGAGGGUGUGGGGGGGGACUCUCCAGCCUCUAUUUGGGUUCUCCUCACCCCUCCCUCACCCCCUCCCUAGCCUUUCACUCUUGCUCUGCAGACUCUCUCCCUCUUUCUGUCCAUCUCCCCUCAGUUUAAUCCUCAGCUCUCUGGAGGAGCUUUAGGCCAAGCAGCUGGGGCCCCUGAACGCCUCUUGAAAAGGCAGCCCACUCCAACCAGGAGAGCGAGGGGGGGAAGGAGGGGAGGAGGGGGAGGCGUCCAGACCACCUGGCUCCUGAAACAUAACACACACAAAAAAAUGCAUUGACAUAUGAGACCUGGAUGAGCGGGAGGUGGACUCUGAUUCAGGGAUGAAAAGUCUGAACUGAUGGUUUCUGUUGGACUGUUCAAACUCCUUCCUGCUCAAAGUCUCUCGAAGUUUGGACGUUCUUCAGGUGAAUUUGUAGAAAUGUUUUCAAAGUAAGAAGGAAAGUGUUGUCGUCUACAGAUAGUUUUUUUAUUUGUAAUAUAUCUGUUUUGAUGGGGCGGCUGUAGCUCAGGAGGUAGAGUGGUUGGCCAAUACCCGGAAGGUUGGCGGUUCAAUUCCUCCCUAUCCCAAGUCUGUCCGUUGUGUCCUUGGGCAAGACACUUAACCCACCUUACUCCCAGUGUGUGUCUUCAACUGGUGUAUGAUUGUGAGUGUUGUGUGGUGGUGGUCAGAGAGGCCAUAGGUUCAAACUGGCAGCCACGUUUUCGUCUGUCUACUCCAGGGCAGCUGGUGACUACAAAGUUAGUUUACCACCACCAAGGUGUGACUGUGUGAGUGAAUGAAUGA